Molecule: non-coding RNA, 28 nt
Filed under: Rattus norvegicus (Norway rat)
Lineage: Eukaryota; Metazoa; Chordata; Mammalia; Rodentia; Muridae
Source: RNAcentral
UAGGGAUCAUAUUCCUGGUUUCAGGGUU